CCACUCACAACAAACCCAGGGAGGUUUGCUUUUCACCCAUGGUACAAGGAACAACUCACGGAACCACUAGAACAACUUAUGGAACCAACAAUAGGCUAACAUUAAUCCUGCCAACUCAAAGUGUAACCUCGAGUUGCUAAUGUGCCUCACUCACGAGCCCAAGCUCAAACUCGUGCAAAUGGAACAUCUCCAAACCAUCCUAUGAGCCCAAGCGCAAGCUCACAUCAUAAGGUACAACAAGGUAACCCAAAACCUAUCCCAAGGAACGAUUGCAAAGUCUUUGCACCCAAACGUGUACCCACUCGGAUCAUCGUUUUCAUCUCUGCGUAUGCAACGAGACUAGUUCCCCAAUCUCAUUGAAUAGUACUCGCUGAGACUCAUCCUCUGAUACCAAAUGUAGCGCACGUGGUUUUUACCCUUUAUCCUAUGGUGAUUUACCAUAGGAUAACACCACGAAGCGGAACCUAAACCCUCUUUGUGCCAC
This 484-nucleotide long non-coding RNA is filed under the name Selaginella moellendorffii. RNAcentral's name for it is "long non-coding RNA (SMOE_LNC002404)". Lineage: Eukaryota; Viridiplantae; Streptophyta; Lycopodiopsida; Selaginellales; Selaginellaceae. The record is from RNAcentral.